This 343-nucleotide long non-coding RNA is filed under the name Elaeis guineensis (African oil palm). RNAcentral's name for it is "long non-coding RNA (EGUI_LNC053845)". The record is from RNAcentral. Lineage: Eukaryota; Viridiplantae; Streptophyta; Magnoliopsida; Arecales; Arecaceae.
CCCCUCGGCUAAUGAAGCACCAACUUGACUUACCAUAGAUCUUUAGCUCUUUGAUGGUUAAAUCAAAGUAGGGCUAGAGCACUGGGCUUUGAUACAACUUGUUGCCUAGCUAUGCAACCCAAGAGGGGGGGCGGUAAAUUGGGUUUUUAAAAAUUUAAUGUUAAUUUAGAACUAUGAGAAUUAAAUAACAAUGAGCAGGAUAUAUAUAGAGAGUGAUUUAAGCAAGGUGUAGAAAUUAGAUGCAAGAGUACAAGAAGAAAAAGAAAAUAAGAUAGAGAACAAGCAAAUACACCAUAAACAACCAAGAUUUAUAGUGGUUCGGUGCCAACCUUGCACCUACAUC